GGAUGCACGGCAGCAAUUCUCACAACUUUCCACGCUGUCGAAGACCGAUCAGACGGGCCAAAUCAAUGCCAGAUGGUGUUGACAAGGAGAUGGGCACCAUUGGCUUUAGGAACUUCCCACCCUCUCUGAUGAAACUACUCGGUUGAAUGUGCCAAACCUGUUUGACAACGGGGUUUUUUUUAAUACUUUGUUCUUCUUCAUACUGAGAUUCGUCGUACAUAAUCUAACGGUUCGAUUACCGGGAUGGGAUGGUGUCGGGCCUGGAUGCUAGUUUCUUGCUUGGGCAGCUGGCCCCAAAAUGACAUUUCAGCCUUGGUUCCUCGAGGCUGAAAAAUAGAGCUCCGCUCCUUGUACGGAACUUAAAUUCAAGUGUCAAUUUUGAAGGUGGUUAUAUAUUCGGGGUUUCGUUACUGACGUUGAAAAGACUGGUACUUACAAUGGCAUCGAACUAUGGAGCGCGGAAGGGCUUGGAUAUGAUAUGUUGAUAAUGGAUGGGGG
This 498-nucleotide small RNA is filed under the name Histoplasma capsulatum var. duboisii H88. Its description in RNAcentral is "Histoplasma capsulatum H88 hypothetical RNA". Lineage: Eukaryota; Fungi; Ascomycota; Eurotiomycetes; Onygenales; Ajellomycetaceae. The record is from RNAcentral.